UGAAAAUCACCAGGGGCUGUCAGAGUUGGGUCCUCUGAAAAAUUUACAGUGCUAAAUCAGAGCAUAUGCUGUGAGAGAGGGGAAAAAAAAUGCUUAAGAUUGGAGCAAGUACAGUAUCUGGCUGCCCCCUAGUGUAAGACUCUUAUCUGCCUAAAAUUCAACUUUCAAAGAAAAGGAUCUCUUAAAGGGAAACGACUUUUGGCUCACGUAUGCAUGCGAGAAUGAAACUUCUGUACAUUUUAAUCUGAUUAAUACCUAAGGAUUUCAGAUUAAUUGACUUGGGCACUCCUAGACCGGACUCUAACAUUUCUGCUGCAGGGCUCCCUUCAAGAAGCCCUGUAUUCAAUAGAUGUUAUCUCCGCUCAGAACGGUUUCCUCCUAAAUUAAACAGACUGGUGAAGAUAUGAGAAGCAUCUUGAGCCAAAUAUAUACAGAUUUGUACACAGAAGCCUUCUGAUCCCCGAGCAACCCACAGUAAAAUCUUGUCACAACGGAAUAAUAAACAUUUAUCAUAUUUUUCAACUUUCCAAAGUUCGUAGUGUACCAAGACAAUUGCAACUGGCUCUCUUCGUUUGUCUCUCAGAUGCAGAAAGCAACAGCACAAUAUUGUGCCAUAAUGAAUUCUUCAUCAUGAUUGAAAAAGUGCAAAAGGGAAACAUGUUUAAUAGGCUGAAAAAUAAGAAAGACCAGCUAAUGGAAGAGAGCCACCAGAUCUCGUUCUUAGAGAGAAGCACUCUUGCAUCAUACCGUCUGUUGGGAGGGAGAGAUGUGGAGACACAACGGAACGACGUUGAAUGUUUUCUGUGUGUGUGUGCAUGCGCACACGUGAGUGAGACCCGAU
Molecule: long non-coding RNA, 841 nt
Filed under: Crocodylus porosus (Australian saltwater crocodile)
Lineage: Eukaryota; Metazoa; Chordata; Crocodylia; Crocodylidae
Description: lncRNA (ENSCPRG00005017625.1)
Source: RNAcentral